AUACGUAUGGUGCAAGCGUUAUCCGGAUUUACUGGGUGUAAAGGGUGCGUAGGUGGUAUGGCAAGUCAGAAGUGAAAACACGGGGCUCAACCCCGUGACUGCUUUUGAAACUGUCAGACUAGAGUACAGGAGAGGAAAGCGGAAUUCCUAGUGUAGCGGUGAAAUGCGUAGAUAUUAGGAGGAACACCAGUGGCGAAGGCGGCUUUCUGGACUGAAACUGACACUGAGGCACGAAAGCGUGGGGAGC
Molecule: ribosomal RNA, 247 nt
Filed under: uncultured bacterium
Lineage: Bacteria
Description: partial 16S ribosomal RNA
Rfam family: Bacterial small subunit ribosomal RNA
Source: RNAcentral